GGGUCAGUAGGUUGGUCGUGCCACCGGUACGUACUGGUCUCACUGAUUCCUCCUUCCUGAAGAACCGUAAUGCCAUUAAUUUUGUGUUGCGGGGAGACAGGACUGUUACUUUGAAAAAAUUAGAGUGUUUAAAGCAAGCUAACGCUUGAAUACAUUAGCAUGGAAUAAUGAAAUAGGACGAUCGAUCCUAUUUUGUUGGUUUCUAGGAUUGACGUA
Molecule: ribosomal RNA, 216 nt
Filed under: Glomeromycotina sp.
Lineage: Eukaryota; Fungi; Glomeromycota
Description: partial small subunit ribosomal RNA
Rfam family: Eukaryotic small subunit ribosomal RNA (bases 40-216)
Source: RNAcentral